This 576-nucleotide unclassified non-coding RNA is filed under the name Hevea brasiliensis (rubber tree). Lineage: Eukaryota; Viridiplantae; Streptophyta; Magnoliopsida; Malpighiales; Euphorbiaceae. The record is from RNAcentral.
AUUUCCCCCUGCCUACCUUAAAUUCGAACUAUUUGCAUAAUUUAGUUGGGAGUUAGCAAAGAGCUGAAUGAUAGAAGUUGCUAAUUAGAUGGCAAGAAUUUAAAUUUAUUGAAGCCACUAGCAUGUUUUGAGUUGAUGUCAUGUUAUUGGCUAUGUAAUUAAGUUGAGAGUCAACAGCAAGUACCUGCUUUAGCAUAUUGUUUUCCUAGUUUUACCCUCCUAGGCGAAUUCCUGCAAUUCAUCAGUUUUAGAAAAUGUGAAGGGAUGUGGUGGUGCUUUCAUGCAAUGAUAAACUCUUCCCCUUUUCAAGUUAACUACCUAAUCAUUCUCAGAUGCACAUAAGGUGUAGUUAUGUAUGCUGAUUCUAUAUCCAAGUCUUCUAAAGUAUCUGUCAGCACAGAAUUAUAGAACAGCAUAUAUUUAUGAAGAUUUUACGGUGUUAUAUAUGCCAGUCUUCCACUUCAAACUAUGCAAAAAAUCAUGCUGAUAAGUAGUUAUUGUUCAACUAACAUACUCUCAUAUGUUAGUCCUUUCUGAGUGGACAAAGCCAUGUGGCUGCAGGUACAACUUAAGCCA